RNAcentral lists this ribosomal RNA (800 nucleotides) under uncultured bacterium. RNAcentral's name for it is "bacterial SSU rRNA". It matches the Rfam family "Bacterial small subunit ribosomal RNA", at positions 8 to 808 of the family's 1533-position model. The record is from RNAcentral.
AGAGUUUGAUCCUGGCUCAGGAUGAACGCUGGCGGCGUGCUUAACACAUGCAAGUCGAACGAAGCACCUUGAUUUGAUUCUUCGGAUGAAGAUCCUGGUGACUGAGUGGCGGACGGGUGAGUAACGCGUGGGUAACCUGCCUCAUACAGGGGGAUAACAGUUAGAAAUGACUGCUAAUACCGCAUAAGACCACAGCACCGCAUGGUGCAGGGGUAAAAACUCCGGUGGUAUGAGAUGGACCCGCGUCUGAUUAGGUAGUUGGUGGGGUAACGGCCUACCAAGCCGACGAUCAGUAGCCGACCUGAGAGGGUGACCGGCCACAUUGGGACUGAGACACGGCCCAAACUCCUACGGGAGGCAGCAGUGGGGAAUAUUGCACAAUGGGGGAAACCCUGAUGCAGCGACGCCGCGUGAGCGAUGAAGUAUUUCGGUAUGUAAAGCUCUAUCAGCAGGGAAGAAAAUGACGGUACCUGACUAAGAAGCACCGGCUGAAUACGUGCCAGCAGCCGCGGUAAUACGUAUGGUGCAAGCGUUAUCCGGAUUUACUGGGUGUAAAGGGAGCGUAGACGGAGUGGCAAGUCUGAUGUGAAAACCCGGGGCUCAACCCCGGGACUGCAUUGGAAACUGUCAAUCUGGAGUACCGGAGAGGUAAGCGGAAUUCCUAGUGUAGCGGUGAAAUGCGUAGAUAUUAGGAGGAACACCAGUGGCGAAGGCGGCUUACUGGACGGUAACUGACGUUGAGGCUCGAAAGCGUGGGGAGCAAACAGGAUUAGAUACCCUGGUAGUCCACGCCGUAAACG